GAUGAACGCUGGCGGCGUGCCUAAUACAUGCAAGUCGAGCGAACAGACGAGGAGCUUGCUCCUCUGACGUUAGCGGCGGACGGGUGAGUAACACGUGGAUAACCUACCUAUAAGACUGGGAUAACUUCGGGAAACCGGAGCUAAUACCGGAUAAUAUAUUGAACCUCAUUGUUCAAUAGUGAAAGACGGUUUUGCUGUCACUUAUAGAUGGAUCCGCGCCGCAUUAGCUAGUUGGUAAGGUAACGGCUUACCAAGGCAACGAUGCGUAGCCGACCUGAGAGGGUGAUCGGCCACACUGGAACUGAGACACGGUCAAGACUCCUACGGGAGGCAGCAGUAGGGAAUCUUCCGCAAUGGGCGAAAGCCUGACGGAGCAACGCCGCGUGAGUGAUGAAGGUCUUCGGAUCGUAAAACUCUGUUAUUAGGGAAGAACAAAUGUGUAAGUAACUAUGCACGUCUUGACGGUACCUAAUCAGAAAGCCACGGCUAACUACGUG
RNAcentral lists this ribosomal RNA (497 nucleotides) under uncultured bacterium. RNAcentral's name for it is "partial 16S ribosomal RNA". It matches the Rfam family "Bacterial small subunit ribosomal RNA", at positions 28 to 507 of the family's 1533-position model. The record is from RNAcentral.